This 906-nucleotide ribosomal RNA is filed under the name uncultured bacterium. RNAcentral describes it as "bacterial SSU rRNA". It matches the Rfam family "Bacterial small subunit ribosomal RNA", at positions 594 to 1501 of the family's 1533-position model. The record is from RNAcentral.
GUGAAUCCCCGGGCUUAACCUGGGAACUGCAUUUGAAACUGGCAGGCUAGAGUCUCGUAGAGGGGGGUAGAAUUCCAGGUGUAGCGGUGAAAUGCGUAGAGAUCUGGAGGAAUACCGGUGGCGAAGGCGGCCCCCUGGACGAAGACUGACGCUCAGGUACGAAAGCGUGGGGAGCAAACAGGAUUAGAUACCCUGGUAGUCCACGCUGUAAACGAUGUCGAUUUGAAGGUUGUGGUCUUGAGCCGUGGCUUUCGGAGCUAACGCGUUAAAUCGACCGCCUGGGGAGUACGGCCGCAAGGUUAAAACUCAAAUGAAUUGACGGGGGCCCGCACAAGCGGUGGAGCAUGUGGUUUAAUUCGAUGCAACGCGAAGAACCUUACCUACUCUUGACAUCCAGAGAACUGAGCAGAGAUGCUUAGGUGCCUUCGGGAACUGUGAGACAGGUGCUGCAUGGCUGUCGUCAGCUCGUGUUGUGAAAUGUUGGGUUAAGUCCCGCAACGAGCGCAACCCUUAUCCUUUGUUGCCAGCGAUUCGGUCGGGAACUCAAAGGAGACUGCCGGUGAUAAACCGGAGGAAGGUGGGGAUGACGUCAAGUCAUCAUGGCCCUUACGAGUAGGGCUACACACGUGCUACAAUGGCGCAUACAAAGAGAAGCGAUCUCGCGAGAGUCAGCGGACCUCAUAAAGUGCGUCGUAGUCCGGAUUGGAGUCUGCAACUCGACUCCAUGAAGUCGGAAUCGCUAGUAAUCGUGGAUCAGAAUGCCACGGUGAAUACGUUCUCGGGCCUUGUACACACCGCCCGUCACACCAUGGGAGUGGGUUGCAAAAGAAGUAGGUAGCUUAACCUUAGGGAGGGCGUUUACCACUUUGUGAUUCAUGACUGGGGUGAAGUCGUAACAAGGUAACC